GGCGGUUAGGUGUAGGGCUAGGGUUGGAUUAGGGUUAGGAGUAGGGAUAGGGUUGGGUUAGGAGUAGGGUAAGGGUUCAGAGUAGGGUAAGGGUUGGGUUACGGUUAGGAGUAGGGGUAGGUUUUGGGUAGAGGUACCCUAACCCUACUCCUAACCCUAACCCAACCCUUACCCUACUCCUAACCCUUACCCUACUCCUAACCUAACCCUAACCUUAACACUACUCCUAACCCUAACUCUACACCAAACCCAAUCCUACCCGUUUUGCCGUUUUUCAGAAG
RNAcentral lists this small RNA (281 nucleotides) under Pelobates cultripes (western spadefoot toad). The record is from RNAcentral. Lineage: Eukaryota; Metazoa; Chordata; Amphibia; Anura; Pelobatidae.